This 253-nucleotide ribosomal RNA is filed under the name uncultured bacterium. RNAcentral describes it as "partial 16S ribosomal RNA". It matches the Rfam family "Bacterial small subunit ribosomal RNA", at positions 524 to 776 of the family's 1533-position model. The record is from RNAcentral.
UACGAAGGGGGCUAGCGUUAUUCGGAUUCACUGGGCGUAAAGGGUGCGCAGGCGGUCGUGUGUGUCAGAUGUGGAAUCCCGGAGCUUAACUCCGGAACUGCGUCUGAAACUACACGACUAGAGCAUUGGAGAGGGAAGUGGAAUUCAUGGUGUAGCAGUGAAAUGCGUAGAUAUCAUGAGGAACACCAGAGGCGAAGGCGACUUCCUAGACAAUUGCUGACGCUCAGGCACGAAAGCAUGGGGAGCGAAAGGG